GCUCAGAACGAACGCUGGCGGCAGGCUUAACACAUGCAAGUCGAGCGCCCCGCAAGGGGAGCGGCAGACGGGUGAGUAACGCGUGGGAAUCUACCCUUUUCUACGGAAUAACGCAGGGAAACUUGUGCUAAUACCGUAUAAGCCCUUCGGGGGAAAGAUUUAUCGGGAAAGGAUGAGCCCGCGUUGGAUUAGCUAGUUGGUGGGGUAAAGGCCUACCAAGGCGACGAUCCAUAGCUGGUCUGAGAGGAUGAUCAGCCACAUUGGGACUGAGACACGGCCCAAACUCCUACGGGAGGCAGCAGUGGGGAAUAUUGGACAAUGGGCGCAAGCCUGAUCCAGCCAUGCCGCGUGAGUGAUGAAGGCCCUAGGGUUGUAAAGCUCUUUCACCGGUGAAGAUAAU
This 400-nucleotide ribosomal RNA is filed under the name Sinorhizobium medicae. Its description in RNAcentral is "bacterial SSU rRNA". It matches the Rfam family "Bacterial small subunit ribosomal RNA", at positions 22 to 452 of the family's 1533-position model. The record is from RNAcentral. Lineage: Bacteria; Pseudomonadati; Pseudomonadota; Alphaproteobacteria; Hyphomicrobiales; Rhizobiaceae.